Molecule: small RNA, 16 nt
Filed under: Arabidopsis thaliana (thale cress)
Lineage: Eukaryota; Viridiplantae; Streptophyta; Magnoliopsida; Brassicales; Brassicaceae
Description: ATSL047270
Source: RNAcentral
GUUUCUCUCUGUACUU